UACGUAGGGUGCGAGCGUUAAUCGGAAUUACUGGGCGUGAAGCGUGCGCAGGCGGUUUUGUAAGCCAGAUGUGAAAUCCCCGGGCUUAACCUGGGAAUGGCAUUUGGGACUGCAAGGCUCGAGUGCGGCAGAGGAGACUGGAAUUCCUGGUGUAGCAGUGAAAUGCGUAGAUAUCAGGAGGAACACCGAUGGCGAAGGCAGGUCUCUGGGCUGACACUGACGCUCAUGCACGAAAGCGUGGGGAGCAAACAGG
Molecule: ribosomal RNA, 253 nt
Filed under: uncultured bacterium
Lineage: Bacteria
Description: partial 16S ribosomal RNA
Rfam family: Bacterial small subunit ribosomal RNA
Source: RNAcentral